RNAcentral lists this ribosomal RNA (468 nucleotides) under uncultured bacterium. Its description in RNAcentral is "partial 16S ribosomal RNA". It matches the Rfam family "Bacterial small subunit ribosomal RNA", at positions 28 to 507 of the family's 1533-position model. The record is from RNAcentral.
GACGAACGCUGGCGGCGUGCUUAACACAUGCAAGUCGAACGGAAAGGCCCUGCUUUUGUGGGGUGCUCGAGUGGCGAACGGGUGAGUAACACGUGAGUAACCUGCCCUUGACUUUGGGAUAACUUCAGGAAACUGGGGCUAAUACCGGAUCGGAGCUCCUGCUGCAUGGUGGGCGUUGGAAAGUUUCGGCGGUUGGGGAUGGACUCGCGGCUUAUCAGCUUGUUGGUGGGGUAGUGGCUUACCAAGGCUUUGACGGGUAGCCGGCCUGAGAGGGUGACCGGCCACAUUGGGACUGAGAUACGGCCCAGACUCCUACGGGAGGCAGCAGUGGGGAAUAUUGCACAAUGGGCGGAAGCCUGAUGCAGCAACGCCGCGUGCGGGAUGACGGCCUUCGGGUUGUAAACCGCUUUCGCCUGUGACGAAGCGUGAGUGACGGUAAUGGGUAAAGAAGCACCGGCUAACUACGUG